UACAGAGGGUGCAAACGUUGUUCGGAAUUACUGGGCGUAAAGCGCGUGUAGGCGGUGCGGUAAGUCUGAUGUGAAAGCCCUGGGCUCAACCUGGGAAUGGCAUUGGAUACUGGCGAUCUAGAGUGCGGUAGAGGGCAGUGGAAUUCCCGGUGUAGCAGUGAAAUGCGUAGAGAUCGGGAGGAACAUCUGUGGCGAAGGCGACUGCCUGGACCAGCACUGACACUGAGGCACGAAAGCGUGGGGAGCAAACAGG
RNAcentral lists this ribosomal RNA (253 nucleotides) under uncultured bacterium. Its description in RNAcentral is "partial 16S ribosomal RNA". It matches the Rfam family "Bacterial small subunit ribosomal RNA", at positions 524 to 776 of the family's 1533-position model. The record is from RNAcentral.